Molecule: ribosomal RNA, 254 nt
Filed under: uncultured bacterium
Lineage: Bacteria
Description: partial 16S ribosomal RNA
Rfam family: Bacterial small subunit ribosomal RNA
Source: RNAcentral
UACAGAGGUGGCAAGCGUUGUUCGGAAUUACUGGGCGUAAAGGGCGCGUAGGCGGCCCGUCAAGUCCCGUGUGAAAGCCCCCGGCUCAACCGGGGAACGGCGCGGGAAACUAGCAGGCUUGAGUUCGGGAGAGGGAAGCGGAAUUCCGGGUGUAGCGGUGAAAUGCGCAGAUAUCUGGAGGAACACCGGUGGCGAAGGCGGCAUCCUGGACCACGACUGACGCUGAGUGAGCGAAAGCCAGGGGAGCAAACGGG